GACGAACGCUGGCGGCGCGCCUAACACAUGCAAGUUGAACGAGCGAAGAGGAGCUUGCUUCUCUGAGCGAGUGGCGAACGGGUGAGUAACGCGUGAGGAACCUGCCUCAAAGAGGGGGACAACAGUUGGAAACGACUGCUAAUACCGCAUAAGCCCACGGGUCGGCAUCGACCAGAGGGAAAAGGAGCAAUCCGCUUUGAGAUGGCCUCGCGUCCGAUUAGCUAGUUGGUGAGGUAAUGGCCCACCAAGGCGACGAUCGGUAGCCGGACUGAGAGGUUGAACGGCCACAUUGGGACUGAGACACGGCCCAGACUCCUACGGGAGGCAGCAGUGGGGAAUAUUGCACAAUGGGGGAAACCCUGAUGCAGCGACGCCGCGUGGAGGAAGAAGGUCUUCGGAUUGUAAACUCCUGU
This 413-nucleotide ribosomal RNA is filed under the name uncultured bacterium. RNAcentral describes it as "bacterial SSU rRNA". It matches the Rfam family "Bacterial small subunit ribosomal RNA", at positions 28 to 436 of the family's 1533-position model. The record is from RNAcentral.